AUACGAAGGGGGCUAGCGUUGUUCGGAAUUACUGGGCGUAAAGCGCGCGUAGGCGGACUGAUCAGUUGGGGGUGAAAUCCCAGGGCUUAACCCUGGAACUGCCUCCAAUACUGUCAGUCUUGAGUUCGGGAGAGGUGAGUGGAAUUCCUAGUGUAGAGGUGAAAUUCGUAGAUAUUAGGAAGAACACCAGUGGCGAAGGCGGCUCACUGGCCCGGUACUGACGCUGAGGUGCGAAAGCGUGGGGAGCAAACAGGAUUAGAAACCCCAGUAGUCC
RNAcentral lists this ribosomal RNA (274 nucleotides) under uncultured bacterium. RNAcentral's name for it is "partial 16S ribosomal RNA". It matches the Rfam family "Bacterial small subunit ribosomal RNA", at positions 523 to 796 of the family's 1533-position model. The record is from RNAcentral.